Molecule: long non-coding RNA, 275 nt
Organism: Lolium rigidum
Lineage: Eukaryota; Viridiplantae; Streptophyta; Magnoliopsida; Poales; Poaceae
Exons: 2
Source: RefSeq, a predicted model, not a curated record
GAGGAGCCACAAUAUCCCAACAAGUCUUAGGAAAACAGCAGUUAAAGCCAUCAGGACCUGGAGCUUUGUCACUAGUUCUUACAUUUUUCAGUUUAGUAUUCAGAAUAAUUGUUGGAUUGUUGCUUUUAACAGGUAUUUUCCAAGCAUUACUUACUGUUUCUUUAAAUCCUAGAUGUUGACCCAAAUAUUCUCAAUCUGAAAUGCUUUACUUCUGGGGAUUUUUUUGUUCCGUGUCAGACUCGGUGCCAAAGAAAGAGUCGAUUCGAAGCCUGCCA